GCGGCGAUAGCUUAGUGGUAAUAGCGCCAGGUGAGAAGGUAGAGAUUUCUCCAAGAGCUAUUAUCUGCCCGGGUUCGAUUCCCGCUUGUGGCA
Molecule: non-coding RNA, 93 nt
Organism: Aromia moschata
Lineage: Eukaryota; Metazoa; Arthropoda; Insecta; Coleoptera; Cerambycidae
Source: the annotation of a GenBank genome assembly